GGCUGAGAGGAUCCAGGGAGAGGAGAAAGCUCGCCUGUUUGACCUGGCUGAGAGGAUCCAGGGAGAGGAGAAAGCUCGCCUGUUUGACCUGGCUGAGAGGAUCCAGGGAGAGGAGAAAGCUCGCCUGUUUGAGCUAUCCUACACAGAGACUAUGUAAGGAAAUCGUGGAGAGGCACACAGGCUACCCACCCAACUGGGAUAAGAACCUGUCCCUGGCCAGCGAGAGGCUCCUGCAGCAUCCAGCACUUCAGCCUGUACCUGGACAAGGAGCCCACAAACUCCCAGGCCCCCGGGGUGGUGUUGUCCAGACAAACAGGACCCUGACUGCACCUCACACUGCGGGAAUGUUUUCCACUGGGGACGUUACAUGACUUUUGCAACCUGGACUGAACCCAAUCAAGCUGUUCAUCUCUCACACACACUCUUUUAUUUACUAUUUCCCUGUCUCUCUCUGUAUCUCUUUCUCUGCCUCUCUCGCGGCUUUUAACGUUGUGAUUAUGUGGCCUCCAGCUUUAGUUCUCCCAUUAGGACGGUCAGGCUGAGAUUGAGGGAAACCCAAUGUGUGCGCAGAAAUGGAGGAUUAGAGCAGGCUCUUAAUCUAGGACAGACUUGUUCCGUGCCACGCUUUCCUCUGGACUCUUAGCAUGACCCAGGCUCCAAAUCACCACCGCUGCCCACCGACUAUCCAUCCGGCUGAGAUGGUCCUUUAAAAAACAAAUGGAUUCAAGGAGCUUUUUUGCUCCUUUUGACAGCAGAGCUAUAAUCCCUCACGGAUUUAAAUGACACAUUAAAUGUUACAAUGCCAGGGACGCAUUUAGAGGUGUGUGCUCCUCCUGUGAUACACAGACACGAGGACAGAAACACACACCACACACACACACACACUGAACAGUGGAGCACUUUCAACUUCACAGAGACAUUUUGUUGCGCAGACAUUGAGAGUCACAACUACGCUAACACAGACAGAGACAUUGCACACAGACAUGCAAGGGUCCUCAGCAGGGACUCAUUCCUCUGUUCUAGGAGAGACCUACCUCGCUCACCUUCCAUUCCCUCGUUCCUCUGUUCUCGGAGAGACCUUCUACCUCGCUCACCUUCCACAUUCUGACUGUGAACAUGCUAUUUUUUUUCUGCUGUCCACAGAUUAAAAUACUCUAACAAAGAUUCAUUUUUCCACUUAAAA
Oncorhynchus tshawytscha (Chinook salmon) is the source of this 1183-nucleotide long non-coding RNA. RefSeq lists it as uncharacterized. The record is from RefSeq and is a predicted model, not a curated record. Lineage: Eukaryota; Metazoa; Chordata; Actinopteri; Salmoniformes; Salmonidae. The transcript has 2 exons.